Molecule: ribosomal RNA, 731 nt
Filed under: Kocuria sp. SRDKS-7
Lineage: Bacteria; Bacillati; Actinomycetota; Actinomycetes; Micrococcales; Micrococcaceae
Description: bacterial SSU rRNA
Rfam family: Bacterial small subunit ribosomal RNA
Source: RNAcentral
CCUUACCAUGCAAGUCGAACGCUGAAGCUCCAGCUUGCUGGGGUGGAUGAGUGGCGAACGGGUGAGUAAUACGUGAGUAACCUGCCCUUGACUCUGGGAUAAGCCUGGGAAACCGGGUCUAAUACUGGAUACGACGUCCUACCGCAUGGUGGGGCGUGGAAAGGGUUUUACUGGUUUUGGAUGGGCUCACGGCCUAUCAGCUUGUUGGUGGGGUAAUGGCCUACCAAGGCGACGACGGGUAGCCGGCCUGAGAGGGUGACCGGCCACACUGGGACUGAGACACGGCCCAGACUCCUACGGGAGGCAGCAGUGGGGAAUAUUGCACAAUGGGCGGAAGCCUGAUGCAGCGACGCCGCGUGAGGGAUGACGGCCUUCGGGUUGUAAACCUCUUUCAGCAGGGAAGAAGCCACAAGUGACGGUACCUGCAGAAGAAGCGCCGGCUAACUACGUGCCAGCAGCCGCGGUAAUACGUAGGGCGCAAGCGUUGUCCGGAAUUAUUGGGCGUAAAGAGCUCGUAGGCGGUUUGUCGCGUCUGCUGUGAAAGCCCGGGGCUCAACCCCGGGUCUGCAGUGGGUACGGGCAGACUAGAGUGCAGUAGGGGAGACUGGAAUUCCUGGUGUAGCGGUGAAAUGCGCAGAUAUCACGAGGAACACCGAUGGCGAAUGCAGGUCUCUGGGCUGUUACUGACGCUGAGAGCGAAGCAUGGGGGUAGCGAACAGAUAGAUACCCUG